Molecule: ribosomal RNA, 253 nt
Filed under: uncultured bacterium
Lineage: Bacteria
Description: partial 16S ribosomal RNA
Rfam family: Bacterial small subunit ribosomal RNA
Source: RNAcentral
UACGUAAGGAGCAAGCGUUGUCCGGAAUCAUUGGGCGUAAAGCGCGCGUAGGUGGCUUCGUAAGUCCGUUGUGAAAGUCAAAGGCUCAACCUUUGAAAGCCGAUGGAUACUGCGGAGCUAGAGUACGGAAGAGGCGAGUGGAAUUCCUGGUGUAGCGGUGGAAUGCGCAGAUAUCAGGAGGAACACCAAUAGCGAAGGCAGCUCGCUGGGACGUUACUGACACUGAGGCGCGAAAGCGUGGGGAGCGAACAGG